This 465-nucleotide ribosomal RNA is filed under the name uncultured bacterium. RNAcentral's name for it is "partial 16S ribosomal RNA". It matches the Rfam family "Bacterial small subunit ribosomal RNA", at positions 28 to 507 of the family's 1533-position model. The record is from RNAcentral.
GACGAACGCUGGCGGCGUGCUUAACACAUGCAAGUCGAACGGAAAGGCCCCUUCGGGGGUACUCGAGUGGCGAACAGGUGAGUAACACGUGAGUAACCUGCCCUUGACUUCGGGAUAACUUCAGGAAACUGGGGCUAAUACCGGAUAGGAAUCCUUGCUGCAUGGUGGGGGUUGGAAAGCUUCGGCGGUUUUGGAUGGACUCGCGGCUCAUCAGCUUGUUGGUGGGGUAGUGGCUUACCAAGGCUUUGACGGGUAGCCGGCCAGAGAGGGCGACCGGCCACAUUGGGACUGAGAUACGGCCCAGACGCCUACGGGAGGCAGCAGGGGGGAAUAUUGCACAAUGGGCGGAAGGCUGAUGCAGCAACGCCGCGGGCGGGAUGACGGCCUUCGGGUUGAAAACCGCUUUCAGCAGGGGCGAAGCUUGUGGUGACGGUACCUGCAGAAGAAGCACCGGCUAACUACGUG